This 393-nucleotide unclassified non-coding RNA is filed under the name Hevea brasiliensis (rubber tree). The record is from RNAcentral. Lineage: Eukaryota; Viridiplantae; Streptophyta; Magnoliopsida; Malpighiales; Euphorbiaceae.
GGCUUGGACUGAACUCAAACAGAUCAAAUCAAAUCAAACCAAAUUGAAUGAGAACCAAAAUUGAAAUUGAAAUCACCUUUGAGCCGAACCCUUUCUCUAAGGGAUUGUUGUGUAAAAAGUGCAUAACAUCCACUCCAUUUAUUUUAUCAUCACGAAUUAAUUUCAAGAUCGUAGAGUCAAAUUCUCAUCGAUCGGUAUGAGUCAAAGACCAACUAGGCCAGAAACCAUUAGGAACUGAACCCAUCAGGUCCAGUUCCCCCUUUUCCCAAGCCUAGAACCAGCCCGAACUGUGCCUACGCCCAGGGGAGGGGGGAGUGGAGAGUGGGCCAGGAGGGUUGGGAAGAGGCUACAAGAAACCAACUUUCCACCAUAUGGCCAAUAUGUAACCAAAAG